CUGGUCAGCUAACAGGACCAGCUAGACCAUGCUGGUCAGCUAACAGGACCAGCUAGACCAUGCUAGCAAUGCUGAAAAAAAUGGCCCCACUAAUACAGGACUAGUAAAGAUGAGGCUAACACUUGGUGUUAUUGUGCAUGUUAGUUCUCCAUGUGAAUGUUACUUUUCUAUAACUUUUUUUUCUUCCUAUUUUGUUGUUUUCUUCCACUCACCUCCUCACUUCCCAGUCCCCCUUGCAGAGUUUUUCAAAGGUUUUGAAUAGCCUUACUCUGGCACUGCCAAAUAGGCUAGGCAGGGCAGCAACUAAAUCUAUCAGUUGGAACAUGUGCGGUUUCAACCACCAGAUCAAAUGCGUUGUCAUUGAGCAGGGCAAACUAUUCAACAUGCCAGUUGUCUUAGCCAGUAUGUAUGCUUCUAAUUGGGCCAAUGACCAGUUUUUAUGGGAGUUUUUUUUCACUCCCCCCUGAUCUGAACACUCACCGACUUACACUAGCAGGGGAUUUGAACUGUUUCCUGCACCCCACAUUAGAUCGCUCUACAACGGUAUCAGGGCCUUUUCUAAAUCAGCACGUUUUAUUAAUUAUUUUAACCAGGUAUAUUGUGUAACAGACCCAAUCCUACAUCUUAACAAUGUGCUCUAUUUUCCCCAGUCCUUCAGACGUAUUCCAGAAUUGAUAGUUUCCUUCGAGACAACAAGUUGCUCCCAAUACUGAAGUCCACUGAUUAUGAGGGUAUUGUCAUCUCAGACUACAGUGCAGUGGUAAUGGUAUUGUGUUUUCCUGAUAACGUUCUCCCACAAUGCACUUGGCGACUCAAUCCACGUCUCUUCUCAGAUGAAGAAUUGAACAGAUGCGUAUAUAUCUGCCCAAAUUGAUUUUUUCCUUGAGGUCAAUCGGCUUUCAGAGACAAUAAUGGGAAGCGCUGAAAGCUACGUGGCCAGAUCAUAUCAUAUGACGCCGGCAUGAAUAAGAGGUCAGGGCAUCUUACAGAACUUGCUAACCUUAUAAACGACAUUGAUCAGAGGCACUCAACCACGCCAUUGGAUAUUUGAUGGAUAUUCGCGCUUUCAAACCUCAAUAGCUUUCUAACCACUAGAGUCACAGACUCCAAAUAAGUGUCUUGAUGUUGGAAAAAUUGCGCACACCAUUGCAGAGGUCUUAUUUUCACGAUUUGGACAUUACUUCGCUUUCCAAAGCUAAUAAACAUGUGGAAAUGUGAGCAGCAUCUUGUAUUCCAAGUUGAAUUUGUUAGGGAGCGUAAUCAAAGUGCAAACGUUUUGUACAUUCAAAGUUUAAUAGCUCCUGGUGACUUCAAACAAGGUUCAGAAUGUCCACUCAGUGGGCCUACACAUUGCACACCCUUUAGUUUGUCCAUUUUCAUCUCACAUGGAUUUACAUGAAAUUUUCAAUAUUUAGAAUUUCAAUACCUCCUUGGUCAUGUGACCUGGUAACUUCAAACAAGGUUCAGAAUGUCCACUGACUACCCUUCUAUAUUGCACACCCUUUAGUUUGUCAAUUUUCAUCUCACAUUGGUUUUACAGGAAUUUCUCAAAAUGUAGAAUUUCAAUAGCUCCUUGGUCAUGUGACCUACUGACCUCAAACAAUGUCCCACUUACUAUACCUUCAUAUAUCGCACACUCUGAUGUUUGUCUACUUUCAUAUCAUGCUAUUAGACUUAAAUCUGUAAGCUUUGCAGGCCUUCAUUUUACAUGGGUGUUAAAAAAUCUGUUUAAGUCAACAAAUGUUCCAUCCUCGCAAUAACUAUCUUUCACAUGGACACUGAAAAUAUCUGCAAUUGGCUGUAUGUGGAAUGGAUCAAGGACAGGAGAGGUGUUCGAACAGAGGUGCUUUAAGGAAGGUGCACAGGUGGGCCUCAUGAAAAACAAUGUUUCAUAAGUUAUUUUUAACCACAGUAAUAGGCAGUGAUUUGUCAGUCAAUCCUUUUCAUAGCAUCACUUUCAUAUACUGUACAUUAAGACAAAUCCUUCUACGUCGAGAAUUAGAACGCAGUUUACAUAACCUGAUAAUUACUUGAUAUUUGAGUGCGUUCACAACAAGCCUCCUGCAGACAACUUACAAAAUGCAAUAUUGUAUUUGAGGCUUUGUUUUUCUGAUGAAAGUAGUUAUUUGAUGCAUGGCCUACUAUUUCUAACUGGGAAAAUACUCAGCAAAUUGGAUGCAGUCUAUCACAGUGCCAUCCGUUUCGUCACCAAAGCCCCAUAUACUACCCACCACAGCGACCUGUAUGCUCUCAUUGGCUGGCCCUCGCUUCAUAUUCGUUGCCAAACCCACUGGCUCCAGGUCAUCUAUAAGUCCUUGCUAGGUAAAGCCCCGCCUUAUCUCAGCUCACUGGUCACCAUAGCAGCACCCACCCGUAGCAUGCGCUCCAGCAGGUAUAUUUCACUGGUCACCCCCAAAGCCAAUUCCUCCUUUGGCCGCCUUUCCUUCCAGUUCUCUGCUGCCAAUGACUGGAACGAAUUGCAAACAACACUGAAGCUGGAGACUCAUAUCUCCCUCACUAUCUUUAAGCAUCAGCUAUCAGAGCAGCUUACAGAUCAUUGCACCUGUACAUAGCUGUCACGAGAAUUUACAAUCCCAAUGAUGAUAACAAUCACUGUAGCUUUGACCAAUUCCCCCUAGGUUGUAAAGCUAGGGUUAAUAAGAAUUAGGCAAAGACUCAUAUUCUGCAAAAGGUUCAUUGUUGUUUAUUCAUGAGAGCUCUAAAGUCAACCAAAAUUCGAACAGUCUUUAUAACCUCCUCUAUGCACACACACACACACACACACACACACACACACACAGUUGUAUCACUUUUCUACCAGCCUUUGCAGUUUCUCGCCGUACUCUCCUCUCCUUCCUAGAUUAGAGAGGCCUUGGAAGGGCCCUCCUGUUGUCAGCUUUUUCAGAGUUAUCAUGUGUAGUCUACCAGCCUCUGUUUUCUCCACAUAUUUCUCCCUCUUAACUUGUCCCACACAUGUAUUAUUGGAAUAUAGUCUUAUAUGUUUCAGGGUGGAAUUCUUUAGUCAUUUCUUUAAACAUAUAAAUUCCCUUAUCAAUAGCCCAUCUGUAAAUAGCCCAUCCAACUACCUCAACCCCAUAUUGUUUUUUUUUCUUUUUCUCCUUUGCACCCCAGUAUCUCUACUUGCACAUUCAUCGUCUGCACAUGUCACUCCAGUGUUUAUUUGCGAAAUUGUAAUUAUUUCACCACUACGGCCUAUUUAUUGCCUUUCCUCCCUAAUCUUACUUCAUUUGCACACACUGUAUAUAGACUUUUGUAUUGUGUAUUGUGUUAUAUUUCUCAACUGCAUACAGUGGGGCAAAAAAGUAUUUAGUCAGCCACCAAUUGUGCAAGUUCUCCCACUUAAAAAGAUGAGAGAGGCCUGUAAUUUUCAUCAUAGGUACACUUCAACUACGACAGACUAUAACUAAUCAUAAUUCCAUUAUGUUUACAUAAAAAAGAGAAUACUUCAAAAUGAGAAGAUCCUGCCAUGGAAAAGACGACUACGUGGACAUAAAGUGUAAAGGAGGGGAAAUAACUCCCACCAUGCAGCAGGACACCUUCAGCUGUGGGGUCUUUGUAAUGCAGAUGGCCAAGGAAGUUGCACAGAACUUCCCCAACAUCCCCUCCCAAACUGAUAUGGAACCUUCAAAAACACAUGGAGCAACUGCGAAAAGAAAUGGCUGAGGAUAUGUUAAAAAUGUCUGAUAUGUAAUGACAUUUAAUUCAAAGUAAAUGUAAAUACUUUAUUUUUAUGUAGUUGUGUGGGACAGCCAUAUGUUCAGUUCAUGCCUAUGAUUUCAGAGUUCAACAAAGCCAACAACUGCUUCAUGUGUGCCACUGAUAAAGAACCUGGAUGUGCCUCAAAGACUGACUGGGUUAGUAACUUUAUUUAACAUGUUUAUAAUCUUUUGACAACAGUGAUGGCAUGUAAGACAAUUUAUGAUAUAACACAAUGGAUGGCUAAUUCAUCAUUCGUCAUUCUGCGUUGAUAUUUGAUUUUAUGUAUAACGUGUUACACUUUGUUUUGUUUUAGACUGACUGUUUUACAUGCCAAUAGUGGUUCCAUGUGCUGUAACUAGGUAGGAAGACUAAAGAGUUCAACAGAGUAAAGAACACAAACUGGAAGUGCGGUCUUUGUUGUUGAAAAUGUAUGCUCUACCCCAUCCACACUGAAGAGGCUCUGACAUGUACAUCAACCAGAGUUAAUGUCUGCUCUACCCCAUCCACACUGAAGAGGCUCUGACAUGUACAUCAACCAGAGUUAAUGUCUGCUCUACCCCAUCCACACUGAAGAGGCUCUGACAUGUACAUCAACCAGGGUUAAUGUCUGCUCUACCCCAUCCACACUGAAGAGGCUCUGACAUGUACAUCAACCAGGGAUAAUGUCUGCUCUACCCCAUCCACACUGAAGAGGCUCUGACAUGUACAUCAACCAGGGUUAAUGUCUGCUCUACCCCAUCCACACUGAAGAGGCUCUGACAUGUACAUCAACCAGGGAUAAUGUCUGCUCUACCCCAUCCACACUGAAGAGGCUCUGACAUGUACAUCAACCAGGGAUAAUGUCUGCUAUACCCCAUCCACACUGAAGAGGCUCUGAAAUGAACCAGGGAUAAAGAGAAAGUUAACAGUGAAAUGUUUUGUAUUUAAUUGAAGUUAAGUGUCUGACAUGUUGGAAAAGAUUAAAGGUCUAC
Molecule: long non-coding RNA, 4691 nt
Organism: Oncorhynchus tshawytscha (Chinook salmon)
Lineage: Eukaryota; Metazoa; Chordata; Actinopteri; Salmoniformes; Salmonidae
Source: Ensembl